This 234-nucleotide unclassified non-coding RNA is filed under the name rhizosphere metagenome. RNAcentral describes it as "partial ribosomal RNA internal transcribed spacer region". The record is from RNAcentral.
GUAGGUGAACCUGCGGAAGGAUCAUUAUUGAAAUCCUUAGGAUGUUGCUGGCCCUUCUGGGGGCAUGUGCACUCCGCCUUUUCUAUUCACCUGUGAACUUAUUGUAGGCCGGACGUAAGUCUGUGUCUAUGUUUUUACACACACCCUUUUAAAAAGUUUAAAGAAUGUCUAAGUAGGCCUUCGUUGGCUGAAAUAUAUAUAAUACAACUUUCAACAAUGGAUCUCUUGGUUCUC